AUAGAUCAUAAAUGCUGGAAUGCUUUAUGAUUGAAAGGUUUCGACCGCCUUAGGAUGGAUCUGCGGCCUAUCAGGUUGUAGUGGGUGUAAUGUACCUACUAGCCUACGACGGGUACGGGUUGUGGAAGCAAGAGCCCGGAGAUGGAUUCUGAGACAUGAAUCCAGGCCCUACGGGGCGCAGCAGGCGCGAAAACUUUACAAUGCGGGAAACCGUGAUAAGGGAACACUGAGUGCUAGCAUUUAUGUUAGCUGUCCACAUGUGUAAAUAGCAUGUGAUAGCAAGGGCUGGGCAAGACCGGUGCCAGCCGCCGCGGUAACACCGGCAGCCCGAGUGGUGAUCACUAUUAUUGGGUCUAAAGGGCCCGUAGCCGGUUUAAUCAGUCUUCUGGGAAAUCUAAUCGCUUAACUAUUAGGCUUCCAGGGGAUACUGUUAGACUUGGGACCGGGAGAGGUAAGAGGUACUGCAGGGGUAGGAGUGAAAUCUUGUAAUCCCUGUGAGACCACCAGUGGCGAAGGCGUCUUACCAGAACGGGUCCGACGGUGAGGGACGAAAGCUGGGGGCACGAACCGGAUUAGAUACCCGGGUAGUCCCAGCUGUAAACGAUGCUCGUUAGG
This 615-nucleotide ribosomal RNA is filed under the name uncultured archaeon. RNAcentral's name for it is "bacterial SSU rRNA". It matches the Rfam family "Archaeal small subunit ribosomal RNA", at positions 156 to 771 of the family's 1478-position model. The record is from RNAcentral.